RNAcentral lists this ribosomal RNA (2931 nucleotides) under Escherichia coli. RNAcentral describes it as "bacterial LSU rRNA". It matches the Rfam family "Bacterial large subunit ribosomal RNA". The record is from RNAcentral. Lineage: Bacteria; Pseudomonadati; Pseudomonadota; Gammaproteobacteria; Enterobacterales; Enterobacteriaceae.
GGGUUGUGAGGUUAAGCGACUAAGCGUACACGGUGGAUGCCCUGGCAGUCAGAGGCGAUGAAGGACGUGCUAAUCUGCGAUAAGCGUCGGUAAGGUGAUAUGAACCGUUAUAACCGGCGAUUUCCGAAUGGGGAAACCCAGUGUGUUUCGACACACUAUCAUUAACUGAAUCCAUAGGUUAAUGAGGCGAACCGGGGGAACUGAAACAUCUAAGUACCCCGAGGAAAAGAAAUCAACCGAGAUUCCCCCAGUAGCGGCGAGCGAACGGGGAGGAGCCCAGAGUCUGAAUCAGUGUGUGUGUUAGUGGAAGCGUCUGGAAAGGCGCGCGAUACAGGGUGACAGCCCCGUACACAAAAAUGCACAUACUGUGAGCUCGAUGAGUAGGGCGGGACACGUGGUAUCCUGUCUGAAUAUGGGGGGACCAUCCUCCAAGGCUAAAUACUCCUGACUGACCGAUAGUGAACCAGUACCGUGAGGGAAAGGCGAAAAGAACCCCGGCGAGGGGAGUGAAAAAGAACCUGAAACCGUGUACGUACAAGCAGUGGGAGCACGCUUAGGCGUGUGACUGCGUACCUUUUGUAUAAUGGGUCAGCGACUUAUAUUCUGUAGCAAGGUUAACCGAAUAGGGGAGCCGAAGGGAAACCGAGUCUUAACUGGGCGUUAAGUUGCAGGGUAUAGACCCGAAACCCGGUGAUCUAGCCAUGGGCAGGUUGAAGGUUGGGUAACACUAACUGGAGGACCGAACCGACUAAUGUUGAAAAAUUAGCGGAUGACUUGUGGCUGGGGGUGAAAGGCCAAUCAAACCGGGAGAUAGCUGGUUCUCCCCGAAAGCUAUUUAGGUAGCGCCUCGUGAAUUCAUCUCCGGGGGUAGAGCACUGUUUCGGCAAGGGGGUCAUCCCGACUUACCAACCCGAUGCAAACUGCGAAUACCGGAGAAUGUUAUCACGGGAGACACACGGCGGGUGCUAACGUCCGUCGUGAAGAGGGAAACAACCCAGACCGCCAGCUAAGGUCCCAAAGUCAUGGUUAAGUGGGAAACGAUGUGGGAAGGCCCAGACAGCCAGGAUGUUGGCUUAGAAGCAGCCAUCAUUUAAAGAAAGCGUAAUAGCUCACUGGUCGAGUCGGCCUGCGCGGAAGAUGUAACGGGGCUAAACCAUGCACCGAAGCUGCGGCAGCGACGCUUAUGCGUUGUUGGGUAGGGGAGCGUUCUGUAAGCCUGUGAAGGUGUGCUGUGAGGCAUGCUGGAGGUAUCAGAAGUGCGAAUGCUGACAUAAGUAACGAUAAAGCGGGUGAAAAGCCCGCUCGCCGGAAGACCAAGGGUUCCUGUCCAACGUUAAUCGGGGCAGGGUGAGUCGACCCCUAAGGCGAGGCCGAAAGGCGUAGUCGAUGGGAAACAGGUUAAUAUUCCUGUACUUGGUGUUACUGCGAAGGGGGGACGGAGAAGGCUAUGUUGGCCGGGCGACGGUUGUCCCGGUUUAAGCGUGUAGGCUGGUUUUCCAGGCAAAUCCGGAAAAUCAAGGCUGAGGCGUGAUGACGAGGCACUACGGUGCUGAAGCAACAAAUGCCCUGCUUCCAGGAAAAGCCUCUAAGCAUCAGGUAACAUCAAAUCGUACCCCAAACCGACACAGGUGGUCAGGUAGAGAAUACCAAGGCGCUUGAGAGAACUCGGGUGAAGGAACUAGGCAAAAUGGUGCCGUAACUUCGGGAGAAGGCACGCUGAUAUGUAGGUGAAGUCCCUUGCGGAUGGAGCUGAAAUCAGUCGAAGAUACCAGCUGGCUGCAACUGUUUAUUAAAAACACAGCACUGUGCAAACACGAAAGUGGACGUAUACGGUGUGACGCCUGCCCGGUGCCGGAAGGUUAAUUGAUGGGGUCAGCGCAAGCGAAGCUCUUGAUCGAAGCCCCGGUAAACGGCGGCCGUAACUAUAACGGUCCUAAGGUAGCGAAAUUCCUUGUCGGGUAAGUUCCGACCUGCACGAAUGGCGUAAUGAUGGCCAGGCUGUCUCCACCCGAGACUCAGUGAAAUUGAACUCGCUGUGAAGAUGCAGUGUACCCGCGGCAAGACGGAAAGACCCCGUGAACCUUUACUAUAGCUUGACACUGAACAUUGAGCCUUGAUGUGUAGGAUAGGUGGGAGGCUUUGAAGUGUGGACGCCAGUCUGCAUGGAGCCGACCUUGAAAUACCACCCUUUAAUGUUUGAUGUUCUAACGUUGACCCGUAAUCCGGGUUGCGGACAGUGUCUGGUGGGUAGUUUGACUGGGGCGGUCUCCUCCUAAAGAGUAACGGAGGAGCACGAAGGUUGGCUAAUCCUGGUCGGACAUCAGGAGGUUAGUGCAAUGGCAUAAGCCAGCUUGACUGCGAGCGUGACGGCGCGAGCAGGUGCGAAAGCAGGUCAUAGUGAUCCGGUGGUUCUGAAUGGAAGGGCCAUCGCUCAACGGAUAAAAGGUACUCCGGGGAUAACAGGCUGAUACCGCCCAAGAGUUCAUAUCGACGGCGGUGUUUGGCACCUCGAUGUCGGCUCAUCACAUCCUGGGGCUGAAGUAGGUCCCAAGGGUAUGGCUGUUCGCCAUUUAAAGUGGUACGCGAGCUGGGUUUAGAACGUCGUGAGACAGUUCGGUCCCUAUCUGCCGUGGGCGCUGGAGAACUGAGGGGGGCUGCUCCUAGUACGAGAGGACCGGAGUGGACGCAUCACUGGUGUUCGGGUUGUCAUGCCAAUGGCACUGCCCGGUAGCUAAAUGCGGAAGAGAUAAGUGCUGAAAGCAUCUAAGCACGAAACUUGCCCCGAGAUGAGUUCUCCCUGACCCUUUAAGGGUCCUGAAGGAACGUUGAAGACGACGACGUUGAUAGGCCGGGUGUGUAAGCGCAGCGAUGCGUUGAGCUAACCGGUACUAAUGAACCGUGAGGCUUAACCUUACAACGCCGAAGGUGUUU